UAAUUAAGCGGAGGAAAAGAAACUAACCAGGAUUGACGGUAGUAAGGGCGACUGAACUGUCAAAAGCUCACCGUGUGAAUCUGCGUGUUUUUGCGCGCCGAAUUGUGGUCUGGAGGUUCUUGCACUAUUGCACUGGGCAAAGUCCCUUGGAACAGGGCAGCACAGAGGGUGAGACUCCCGUUUGCCUGGUGCUCAGAGCGAGUGCCAACGAGUCGAGUUGUUUGGGAUUGCAGCUCAAAGUGGGUGGUAAAUUCCAUCUCAAGCUAAAUACUGGUGGGAAACCGAUAGCGCACAAGUACCGUGAGGGAAAGAUGCAAAGAACUUUGAAAAGAGAGUUAAAGAGUACCUGAAAUUGCUGAAAAGGAAGCGAAGGAAACAAGUGCCAAGGUGCACCAUACUUCCCUUCUCGCUUGCGGGUAGGGCGCUGUGGUCAUCGCAGUUCCUCUUGGUUCGGUCGGGCGGAAGCACAGCAGCGACUGCGGGUCGCAGCCUGGUCGCGCUCGAUUGGACCGAAAGGAACGAAAUGGUUUUCUUUGCCCCG
RNAcentral lists this ribosomal RNA (541 nucleotides) under Pinnularia anglica. RNAcentral describes it as "eukaryotic LSU rRNA". It matches the Rfam family "Eukaryotic large subunit ribosomal RNA", at positions 43 to 651 of the family's 3401-position model. Lineage: Eukaryota; Bacillariophyta; Bacillariophyceae; Sellaphorales; Pinnulariaceae. The record is from RNAcentral.